UUGCUACCUUUCUGGACAGAGUAGCCUCAUCGGGGCCCUAAGAGGCAGAGAGAGAAAGACAGUACUGAAUCCCUCUGCUCUGGGGAUGCGCCUGAUGUCACCCACUUGCCUGAGAGACCCUCUGAGAUCACUGUGGAUCACACACUCCUGCUAGUUGCCCAGGAGCCGUCAGCCAAGGUCUUUGCAGAGCGAGCUGUCUCCAUAAUCAGACACCUCCAGAACUCUGCUGGAGAGUGAAGGCAGCAAGGAGAGGUGCACUGGCUGCGGGACGUGGGGUUUCUGACCUCUCAGAUCAUUGAGUAUUGUGAUCCCAGUGAAGCAACAGAGUUUGAGAAAAAUCAUUCUGAAUAAUGAGAAAGAAGAUGGCCUGGACCCAGGCUGAGCAGUAGAACCUGGUUGGGUUGUGUUUUUCU
Molecule: long non-coding RNA, 413 nt
Filed under: Homo sapiens (human)
Lineage: Eukaryota; Metazoa; Chordata; Mammalia; Primates; Hominidae
Description: HSALNT0002757
Source: RNAcentral